Molecule: transfer RNA, 73 nt
Filed under: Dendronephthya gigantea
Lineage: Eukaryota; Metazoa; Cnidaria; Anthozoa; Malacalcyonacea; Nephtheidae
Description: tRNA-Asn
Rfam family: tRNA
About the family: Transfer RNA (tRNA) molecules are approximately 80 nucleotides in length. Their secondary structure includes four short double-helical elements and three loops (D, anti-codon, and T loops).
Source: RNAcentral
CCUUCCAUAGCUCAGUUGGUAGAGCGGGGGACUGUUGAUUCCUAGGUCACUGGUUCAAAUCCGGUUCGAAGGA